GUGCCAGCAGCCGCGGUAAUACAGAGGUCCCGAGCGUUGUUCGGGUUCACUGGGCGUAAAGGGUGCGUAGGUGGUGAGGUAAGUCGGAUGUGAAAGCUCGGAGCUCAACUCCGAAAUGGCAUUGGAAACUACCUCGCUCGAGGGUUUGAGGGGGGACUGGAAUACUUGGUGUAGCAGUGAAAUGCGUAGAUAUCAAGUGGAACACCAGUGGCGAAGGCGAGUCCCUGGAAAACUCCUGACACUGAGGCACGAAAGCCAGGGGAGCAAACAGGAUUAGAAACCCGCGUAGUCC
RNAcentral lists this ribosomal RNA (292 nucleotides) under uncultured bacterium. Its description in RNAcentral is "partial 16S ribosomal RNA". It matches the Rfam family "Bacterial small subunit ribosomal RNA", at positions 505 to 796 of the family's 1533-position model. The record is from RNAcentral.